Long non-coding RNA from Rattus norvegicus (Norway rat), 2976 nucleotides. RefSeq lists it as uncharacterized. The record is from RefSeq and is a predicted model, not a curated record. Lineage: Eukaryota; Metazoa; Chordata; Mammalia; Rodentia; Muridae.
UUUUCUGUUCUGGGCAGCGAGGGCUGCCAGACAGACCUCAGCCAAACUUGCACACCUCCUCCUCGCCCCACCCCUUACACCCUCAUCGGCCACACCCGCGCGGCCUGACUCGCUCCGGCGCACCCGUGUUUUGGGAAGCUUCUGAAGAGAGAGCUUGGUGGUCUAAGGAUGCUGUUCCCUUCCUUCCCCGAGACCUUUGGUGCCAUCUGGACGGAGGAGCCCAGACUUUUAUGAACAGAAUAAGGGGAAAUCCCCUAGAGAAGUCCGCACUGUUCCCCGAUCUCUUCGGCCACAUUUUGGGGGAAAGUGGAAACGCCCAAGGUUGUUGUACCCAGCGCGGGCUGAGGUUUUCCAGGAUCCCGCAAAGAGGCAAGGAGUUGGUCUCUCCGGUGGUUUAAAUGCGGCCGAAGGAGCUACUAUUCCUGCUGCCCGGUCCUACUCUCCAGGUCUUCCUUGAGCCUUGGAACCUCCCACCUGGGUCCUGCCCUGGAUCCUGGCAGGCAGAUACUCUCAUCCGUGAGUCAGGCCUCCUCAGACCCAGCUCCUCUCCUCCACCUGAGACCAAGAAUUCCUGACACCAGCAGUUGGAACAGCCUCAACUCCAGCGUCGUUUCUUCUUGUCAUCUCUGUUUCCGAGUCCUGGGCUCCAAGCCAGGGCGUGAUCCACCACUAGGGCCUCUCCCUCUACCAUAAACGACCAUGCUCCCUCGUGUCCCCUCCCUGGCCUGGGGUUGCCAAACAGAACGGGCAUGCUGACUCAAAGCUGGCCCAAGCAUCCAGGUUCUGCCAGAAAUGAGGAGCAACCUGGGAUAAACUGACGAUGUCGAGUGUGUGGCACUGAUAACUGCCUGCCGAGGGUUCUGAGCUAGAGUUUGCCCGCCCAUAGCCGUUUUCUCUACGUCUGACGUACCCUGGUGGCCACAGAGGCUCUUGGUCUAAGGGCACACUCCUGCUUUUGUGAAAUUCCGUCCGGAAGGUCCUGUCCCAGGUCCAGCUGCCUCAAUAGGAAACAGGAAGUUCAUCUGCCCAAAGAGAUGGGGAUGACAAGGAAAGCUCUCAGACCGUCCUUGAUGUCACUCACGGGCAAGGAUCAGAUCCCAGCAUGGGCUACAAGGUUGCAAGGAUCAGAUGCCAGCAUGGGCUACAAGGUUGCAAGGAUCAGAUGCCAGCAUGGGCUACAAGGUUGCAGCCCCCCUGAUAAUCUUAGGAUAGCACGGGGUCCUUGAGGGGGUUUUCUUUUCUUUUCUCUUUUGGUUUUACAAGACAGGGUUUCUCUGUGUAGCCCCAGCUGUCCUGUAACUCACUUUGUAGACCAGGCUGGCCCCAAACUCGUAGAGAUCUGAACCUAUCGAGAUCUGCAUGCCUCUGCUCCUGAAUGCCGGGAUCAGGCAUGUGCUCCCACACCCAGCAAUUGAGGAUAUCUUCCUGAGAUUAUGUUAAUCAGCAUUCAUAGUGAAUGGAACUGAGUCAGCUUUAAUGUGGGUGUUCAAUGUUCUCCUCCGCUUACCCCAGCCGCAGCAAGUGGAGUGCUUCAUGCUUCGUGAGUCCUGAGGAAAGUGUUCCAUAGCUAUGUCCUCUAAUCUGAAAAAUUCCCUCUUGGAGGGAGAAAGAGGGUUGGAAGACUCAGGAAGCUAAAGAAACUUGCAAGGCUCAGGAAGUCACAAAAUUUUACAAGGCCUCUCCCAGGUUUCUCUAUUCAGUGAACACAUCGGCAGAGGGAGAGGGGGCCCUGGUGGAGCUGCUGCAAGUUCUUCAGGGAGUCUUUAUGAACCCUUACCCAGGCUGGGGAGGUGACCCAGUGACCCAGUGGCCUCUGGCUCACCUGUGACUCUGGUAAGUUCACCAGUUCACCGAAUGAAAACUUCUAUUUUCUUUUCUUUUUAAAGAUUUAUUUAUUAUAUAUAAGUACACUGUAGCUAACUGUCUUCAGACACACCAGAAGAGGGCAGUGGAUCUCAUUACAGAUGGUUGUGAGCCACCUUGUGGUUGCUGGGAUUUGAACUCAGGACUUCUAGAAGAGCAAUCAGUGCUCUUCACCGCUGAGCCAUCUCUCCAGCCCUUCUUUUUUCAAUAAGUAUUUGUUAAAGAGUCUCUCAUCCACUGGGUACAUAGAAACAUAGGGAUGAAUCAUCAGUGUUCAAAAUACAUUAAAAAAUGAAACAAACAAACAAACAAAAAAACCCAAAGCCUCCCCCUGCUGUCAUGGAGCUCAGAUUUUUAACGGAAAGAAGAGAGCUACUGUAAUAAACACAAGGCGUGAUCCCAGUGGAAUCAGUGUGAUAACCACGAGGUGAAGCAGGAAGAGGACGGGCUUAAAGUGGGUUGUUGGGGCAGGCUCGUGUGGGAAGGUGGCUCUGAGGAGACUCAAGGAAGUGAGAGUGUAGGGCACAGGGAGGCCUGGAGCCAAGGAUUCAGGGUAGAGGGAGCAGGCUCAAGGAGAGUGGCACACUGGAGAAAUGCAUGGCAGUGUCAUGAUGGCAGUUCACAGAGAGUCAACAGGUCUGAGGCCUGUUAGGGCUCGCAAGUGCUUCUAGCUUCCCUGGAAGUAACACCUCAACGGAGUCACACGGGAAAGCCUCUGGUAGCUGAAAGAAGUCAUCAUGGACGGAUGAGCAGGGCAAACAGGAAGCCUGAGGGAAGAGGGUCCUGCCACCAGGUCAUUCACAGGGGUGAAAGGUGCCUGGGCCUCUCAGGGUUCUCUGCAUAUGAAAGGUGAUAGAAUCCAGGAAGUUUUCAGGAGCAGAGCCACUCGUGGCUAGAGAGAAGGCUUGGCUACUGAAAGGUUGAGAGCAUGUGUCACUCUUGCAGAGGACCUAGGUUCCACGGGAUCUGAUGUCCUCUUCUGGCCUCUGCAGGUGCCCACAUGAAGACAUGCUCUCUCUCUCUCUCUCUCUCUCUCUCUCUCUCUCUCUCUCUCUCUCUCACACACACACACACACACACACACACAAAUAAAUGUGGUUUGUUUUUGUUUAA